RNAcentral lists this transfer RNA (560 nucleotides) under Bombella intestini. RNAcentral describes it as "partial 16S-23S ribosomal RNA intergenic spacer". The stretch from base 112 to 185 matches the Rfam family "tRNA". The record is from RNAcentral. Lineage: Bacteria; Pseudomonadati; Pseudomonadota; Alphaproteobacteria; Acetobacterales; Acetobacteraceae.
CAAGGAAGUUUUCUGAUACGUUGGAAAACUUUUUGAAUAAAAAGACCUAUGCUUCGAGCGUAGGCAUUAAGACGAAAGCGCCGUCAGCAUAUCCCUUCCUUUACUUUUCCUGGGCUAGUAGCUCAGUUGGUUAGAGCACACGCUUGAUAAGCGUGGGGUCGGAGGUUCAAGUCCUCCCUGGCCCACCACCAGGAUGAUGGGGGCAUAGCUCAGCUGGGAGAGCACCUGCUUUGCAAGCAGGGGGUCGUCGGUUCGAACCCGUCUGCCUCCACCAGAACUUCUGGUGGCGACUAGGAAAAGAGAUUAAAGGUAAGUGGAAAGAGUUCUUCUUUCGGAUAAUUUAUUGUCUGAUUGAAGUAUCCGGUCUUUGAGGAGUGAAUCGGUUGGUGCGCUGUCUGCGUACGCUGCAAUGGGUUGUCUGACCUUUUGGUGGGGGAUGUUUCCUUGUUUCCCACGGAACGUUGCAGAAAGUAUUCAGACGGUGAGAAUGAAGUGACUGACAUUAUAUGUUCAGUUCCAUCAUUCAGCACCUGAAUGUGAGCAAUCACAUUUGGGUAUUG